CCUACGGGACGCAGCAGUGGGGAAUAUUGCACAAUGGGGGAAACCCUGAUGCAGCCAUGCCGCGUGUGUGAAGAAGGCCUUCGGGUUGUAAAGCACUUUCAGUAGGGAGGAAGGUAAUGUGGUUAACACCUGCACUAUUUGACGUUACCUACAGAAGAAGCACCGGCUAACUCCGUGCCAGCAGCCGCGGUAAUACGGAGGGUGCGAGCGUUAAUCGGAAUUACUGGGCGUAAAGCGCAUGCAGGCGGCCUGUUAAGUCAGAUGUGAAAGCCCGGGGCUUAACCUCGGAAUUGCAUUUGAAACUGGUAGGCUAGAGUCUUGUAGAGGGGGGUAGAAUUUCAGGUGUAGCGGUGAAAUGCGUAGAGAUCUGAAGGAAUACCAGUGGCGAAGGCGGCCCCCUGGACAAAGACUGACGCUCAGAUGCGAAAGCGUGGGGAGCAAACAGGAUUAGAUACCCUCGUAGUC
Molecule: ribosomal RNA, 465 nt
Filed under: uncultured bacterium
Lineage: Bacteria
Description: bacterial SSU rRNA
Rfam family: Bacterial small subunit ribosomal RNA
Source: RNAcentral